This 77-nucleotide transfer RNA is filed under the name Podarcis lilfordi (Lilford's wall lizard). RNAcentral's name for it is "tRNA.Glu". The stretch from base 12 to 69 matches the Rfam family "tRNA", at positions 8 to 63 of the family's 71-position model. Rfam says of the family: Transfer RNA (tRNA) molecules are approximately 80 nucleotides in length. Their secondary structure includes four short double-helical elements and three loops (D, anti-codon, and T loops). Further hydrogen bonds mediate the characteristic L-shaped molecular structure. tRNAs have two regions of fundamental functional importance: the anti-codon, which is responsible for specific mRNA codon recognition, and the 3' end, to which the tRNAs corresponding amino acid is attached (by aminoacyl-tRNA synthetases). tRNAs cope with the degeneracy of the genetic code in two manners: having more than one tRNA (with a specific anti-codon) for a particular amino acid; and 'wobble' base-pairing, i.e. permitting non-standard base-pairing at the 3rd anti-codon position. Lineage: Eukaryota; Metazoa; Chordata; Lepidosauria; Squamata; Lacertidae. The record is from RNAcentral.
GCUCUGGGAGAUAGCUCAGUUGGUACAGCAUGAGACUCUCAAUCUCAGGGUUGUGCGUUCAAGCCCCACGUUGGGCA